Molecule: non-coding RNA, 151 nt
Filed under: unclassified sequences
Description: RT-16 RNA
Rfam family: RT-16 RNA
About the family: candidate division DUSEL4 (Archaea).
Source: Rfam by way of RNAcentral
GUCCCAGCUUAAUGUUUUAUCUAAAAAGAUAAAGCAAAAAAUAAGUUUGGAUCUACAUGCGCUUUCACUACGGGAGCAUCGCUCUCAUAAAAUACAGCCUCAACAGCAAUGAAGGGGCAGUGAAUAUUAUUAAGUGAAAGAGCUACUGGUU